This 947-nucleotide ribosomal RNA is filed under the name Trichinella pseudospiralis. Its description in RNAcentral is "partial large subunit ribosomal RNA". The stretch from base 581 to 857 matches the Rfam family "Archaeal large subunit ribosomal RNA", at positions 2150 to 2716 of the family's 2987-position model. The record is from RNAcentral. Lineage: Eukaryota; Metazoa; Nematoda; Enoplea; Trichinellida; Trichinellidae.
GAACUCAAACAACUUUUAACAACUUCCUUUUGUAUAAGGAGUAACUAAAAAUCCAGAUACAAAUCUAUAAUAGAAAGAUAGUAAACUACAAGUACUUAAAAUUUACGUGAAAUUUAACACCAAAAUACUUGAAGAGGAGAUACUCCACACACUAUCUGAUAACUAUUUCAAAACAAAUUUAGUAUAAGCUAAACAAUAUACAAUGACACCUUAGCUAACAGGUUCAGAAUCAACCAAUAUAACAGUUCGUAAUUGACUAGCCCACUACUCAUCAGCAAUCACCACAGAUCACUCAAAACUAAAGACUGAUAAACUAUAGUUACACCAGUAAGAACAACAAAAUUUGCAUGUUAAAACUCGGCAACCAGCCUUCUACUGUUUAAUAAAAACAUUGUAACACAGAUGUGUUAUAACCUCCUGCCCAAUGAAAAUACUUGAAUGGCCGCGGUAAUUUGACCGUGCAAAGGUAGCAUAAUAAAUUGUUUAAUAAAUUUAAACUAGAAUGAAAGGAAUAAAGAAGGAUUACUAUUAACAUACAAUUAACAGAAACUAUAAUUAAGGUGAGAAUUCCUUAUAACAACUUUAAAACGAGAAGACCCUAGAAACUAAUCAUCACAACUUUUUUUGGGAUAAAACUUUAAAACAAAAGAACCACCACCCUCUUAAAUAGAACAGUUACUCUAGGGAUAACAGCACAAUAAAAGCUAAGAGAACUCAUCUACCCUUUAGAUUGUGACCUCGAUGUUGAAUCAAGGAUUAUUAGUCGCAGAAGACUAACAAGUUUCGUCUGUUCGACGAUUCAAAAAUACGUGAUUUGAGUUUAAACCGUCGCAAGACAGGUUGGAUUCUCUUUAAAGCUGUAUCACACAACUUCUAUUAGUACGAAAGGAACGUAAUACUUAAUAAUCAUUAUGAAAAAAUUCACAAUAAAAUUAAGCAUAAACCUC